GCCUUAGUAACGGCGAGUGAAGCGGCAAAAGCUCAAAUUUGAAAUCUGGUACCUUCGGUGCCCGAGUUGUAAUUUGGAGAGGGCAACUUUGGGGCCGUUCCUUGUCUAUGUUCCUUGGAACAGGACGUCAUAGAGGGUGAGAAUCCCGUGUGGCGAGGAGUGCGGUUCUUUGUAAAGUGCCUUCGAAGAGUCGAGUUGUUUGGGAAUGCAGCUCUAAGUGGGUGGUAAAUUCCAUCUAAAGCUAAAUAUUGGCGAGAGACCGAUAGCGAACAAGUACAGUGAUGGAAAGAUGAAAAGAACUUUGAAAAGAGAGUGAAAAAGUACGUGAAAUUGUUGAAAGGGAAGGGCAUUUGAUCAGACAUGGUGUUUUGUGCCCUCUGCUCCUUGUGGGUAGGGGAAUCUCGCAUUUCACUGGGCCAGCAUCAGUUUUGGUGGCAGGAUAAAUCCAUAGGAAUGUAGCUUGCCUCGGUAAGUAUUAUAGCCUGUGGGAAUACUGCCAGCUGGGACUGAGGACUGCGACGUAAGUCAAGGAUGCUGGCAUAAUGGUUAUAUGCCGCCCGUCUUGAAACACGGACCAA
This 578-nucleotide ribosomal RNA is filed under the name Saccharomyces cerevisiae (brewer's yeast). Its description in RNAcentral is "eukaryotic LSU rRNA". It matches the Rfam family "Eukaryotic large subunit ribosomal RNA", at positions 77 to 669 of the family's 3401-position model. The record is from RNAcentral. Lineage: Eukaryota; Fungi; Ascomycota; Saccharomycetes; Saccharomycetales; Saccharomycetaceae.